Molecule: long non-coding RNA, 518 nt
Filed under: Mus caroli (Ryukyu mouse)
Lineage: Eukaryota; Metazoa; Chordata; Mammalia; Rodentia; Muridae
Description: predicted gene 12146 (MGP_CAROLIEiJ_G0002587.1)
Source: RNAcentral
GCAUUCCCCAGAAGAAAGUUUAGCCAAGGUAUCUACAGAGCAUGUGUCAUCCCUGGAAUGCUCUCUGCUGCAUCUCGGAUCCUGGAGAACCCGAUCUUCCACAUGCUUCUGUCUGGGAGGGUUAGAGCUCUUUGAGGACUGCUCGAAGCGCUUUGCUGAGUACUGACACAAUUCUCUCAAAAAAUUCGUGUGCUUGGUACAGUCGAGGAACAUGAGGACACACAUGCUUCCAUCACCUGGGAAUAUUCCCAACUUUAUAGAUGUGUAAAAAAAGGCAGCUGUCUACAACCUGGGAUGAAGACUUUCCCCCAGAUAAUUCCUGGGCCAGGAUGCUGACUUUGGACUUUUAACCUCAAGAAUGAACAUCCCAUACCUACAGCUCCAAUGAGGCACAUGAGGAAGAGGAGGCCGAUGCAGAAGAAGAUAUCUGUGUUGAUGCGCCGCUCGAUUUUGCUGCGUUUGUAUCGGGGGCCACUAUUGUUCAGCAUGGCUUUUGUUUCAUGGCCUUUGAGAGAAAA